GAUUGCCCUCUCUCUCUCUCUCUCUCUCUCUCUCUCUCUCUCUCUCUCUCUCUCUCUCUCUCUCUCUCUCUCUCUGAUAUCUGGUUGUGAAAGGAGGUGAGCUGACUCUUCCGCUGGCGCGUCUUCCACCGCAGCCUGGCUCUAUACUUCUCCCUCAUCAGACCUCAAAUUCAUACUCAAAAGGACUCGGAUUAUGGGAAAUCUCAUCUGCUCCAGAGGAAAAAAAGAACAAUCUAAUGAAGGCGUACAGGCGUCACCUAAAGAGGAUGUUCUCUAUGCCACCAUUGACCAUGGGGAAAAGCAGGCACCAAGGAUGUUAAGAGAUUCUGUCAGUGACUGUGACUAUGCCAUAGUACAAAUGCCCAGUAACACACCUUGCAAAUCUGAGAGCAACGAUGACGGGGCUGAUGACUAUGUGCUCAUGAGCUGAGGUUAAAGACUCUGAAGCUUUAACUUAUGUGAAUAUUAGUUUUUUUUUAAGGACUGCUACUUAAAUGUAAACAUGCACAAAAACACAUUUGUUUUUAUACCUUGUCAUGAUGUGGGGUCAGGCACGUGUCCUCUAUGUAUUAUACACUGUAUAUUUAAUUACCUAUAUAUAAUAAGAAUGUCCUAAUCCUAACCUUAACCUCAGUAUAAGAAAAAAAUUGCAAAGAACUUGUUUGCUCAUUUAAUUAAUAAUAAAUAAAGCAUGUAACUGUACAUAAACUAAUUACACAAACAAAUACACCUGCCAUUGAGUCUAUUGUGGAUCUAAUGUACCUUCAGAUCAGGUAAACUUAAUAUCACCACUUCACACUGCUGUCAGAGAGGUAACUGAAUGAAUGUUUGUAUUUUUGUAUUUUUAUUUAAGAAGUCAUCUUAACCCCUUAAAGAAUAUGUUCACCAAUUAAUGUGCCCAAAAUGUAAUAAUUGAGAUGUUUUCAUUUAACAAAUGCAAGUAAUAGUAAAAAUAAUCAACACACAUAUUUACUAAACCACUUAUGCUUUAGGGUUACCUACAUUUAGAUUCAUCCAUUCAUAAACGCUUACUCCACAUCUCAGUGGAAGAUUUGAAUGGAGAUUUGAGUAGAGCAUGAUUUGUUUAUUUAUUUAUUUUCCUCUUGGAAAUAAAGUCAUUUUUUUCAAUAUUGAAUCAGGGGGAAAAAAUUCUACUUAACCACUCAAAAAUGAGUAACAUUUUAUCUGGAGUGGUCCUUUAUAGAUGAUUAAUAAACCUUUGACAGAUUAUCAGUAACACAUCAACAACAUAUCAGUAGUGAAGCAUCUGAAUACACUGAAGUAAAUAAAUAUCUCGUAGAUGUUCUGUUGAUGACUGGCGGCCUGUCCAGGGUGUGUCCUGCCUCCCACCCAAUGACCGCUGGGAUAAGCUCCAGCACACCCCCCGCUACCCUGGGGGAGCAGUGGCUUAGAAAUGUUCUGUUGAGGCAUUACUUACAUUACGUAGAUGUAUUGUUCAUAUGUUACUUCCAUUACACGAAAACCUAACUUUACUGACUUUACCCAACACCUCAUCCUAAUCCUGGCCCUAAUACUAACCCUAACCUUAACCUCAACCUAGAACCUAAUCCUCGGCCUCACCCUGGCCUUAAUCCUAACCCUGACCUUUACCUCAACCCAGAAUCUAAUCCUAACCAUCACCCUGGCCUUCAUCCUAACCCUAACCUUAACCCUCAUCCAACACCUAAUGCUUACCCUCACCCUAGCCCUGAUUCCAAUCCUAACUUUAACCUCAAUACUGAACCUAAUCCUCACCCUCAUACAGUCUGAAAUGAAUCAAUCUCAGGGAUAACAUCUCAUAUUUCACCAGGUCUCUUUACUGAAAGUGUCUUAUAUGAGUAACAGGGUUGAGUUUCACAGCACAGAAUGUGGUUUUCUACAGAAUGUGUUUAACAGGCAUUCAUGUGUUUCACAAGGGAACAUGAAUGGCAUUAUAAUCAUUUUGUAAGGGGGAGCGAGGAGGCGGACGCAUACGCGGAGAUAAGCGAGAUUUAUUACGGGCAAAUCCAGGGUCGUAGUCAGAACAGUCCAGGGUCAAUGAGCCGACACGGACAGAUCGAGGGUAAGACAUGACGAAAACAACCAGAACCAACACAAACAAAGACCAGGUACAACGAUACAAUGAUACAAAGAUACAAAAGGUACAAAGACUGGCAAACGGAAGGGGCAAACACAGGGCUUAAAUACACGGAACAAUGAGGGACAGGUGAUAACAAUCAGGGGCGGAGUUACAAAACCAAAACAUGAGCACAUGGACAGGACUGGGAGGAGCCAACCGUGACACAUUUACUUACAAUUUAUUAUUUGAUUUCAUCAAUUAUUUAUUUCCAGUCUAUAAUUUGGGUUACAGCAUAUUGGUUUUAAAGUGACCACUUCAUUUGAUGUCAGAGUAUCCCUGAAAAUAAAGAAAAAACAAUGAGAAAACUUUCUUUUUGUCUUCUGAUGAUCUUCAGGUAAUAAACAA
Pygocentrus nattereri (red-bellied piranha) is the source of this 2464-nucleotide long non-coding RNA. The record is from Ensembl. NCBI's taxonomy places the organism in Eukaryota, Metazoa, Chordata, Actinopteri, Characiformes, Serrasalmidae.